GUUUAGAAAGGAAAAAUUUUUU
RNAcentral lists this non-coding RNA (22 nucleotides) under Drosophila melanogaster (fruit fly). Lineage: Eukaryota; Metazoa; Arthropoda; Insecta; Diptera; Drosophilidae. The record is from RNAcentral.